Molecule: ribosomal RNA, 513 nt
Filed under: uncultured bacterium
Lineage: Bacteria
Description: partial 16S ribosomal RNA
Rfam family: Bacterial small subunit ribosomal RNA
Source: RNAcentral
GACGAACGCUGGCGGCGUGCUUAACACAUGCAAGUCGAACGAAAAGAGGGAAAGAGCCUGCUCUUUCCGGAAUUGAGUAGCAAACGGGUGAGUAACACGUAAACAACCUGCCUUCAGGAUGGGGACAACAGACGGAAACGACUGCUAAUACCGAAUAAGUUCCAAGAGCCGCAUGGCCCAUGGAAGAAAAGGUGGCCUCUACCUGUAAGCUAUCGCCUGAAGAGGGGUUUGCGUCUGAUUAGCUGGUUGGAGGGGUAACGGCCCACCAAGGCGACGAUCAGUAGCCGGUCUGAGAGGAUGAACGGCCACACUGGAACUGAGACACGGUCCAGACUCCUACGGGAGGCAGCAGUGGGGAAUCUUCCGCAAUGGGCGAAAGCCUGACGGAGCAACGCCGCGUGAGUGAUGACGGCCUUCGGGUUGUAAAACUCUGUGAUCCGGGACGAAAAGGCAGAGUGCGAAGAACAAACUGCAUUGACGGUACCGGAAAAGCAAGCCACGGCUAACUACGUG